This 234-nucleotide ribosomal RNA is filed under the name uncultured Methanosaeta sp. RNAcentral describes it as "partial 16S ribosomal RNA". It matches the Rfam family "Archaeal small subunit ribosomal RNA", at positions 1105 to 1338 of the family's 1478-position model. Lineage: Archaea; Methanobacteriati; Methanobacteriota; Methanomicrobia; Methanotrichales; Methanotrichaceae. The record is from RNAcentral.
CCGCCGCUGCUAAAGCGGAGGAAGGAAUGGGCAACGGUAGGUCAGUAUGCCCCGAAUAUCCCGGGCUACACGCGAGCUACAAUGGUUGGUACAAUGGGUAUCUACCCCGAAAGGGGACGGGAAUCUCCUAAAACCAAUCUUAGUUCGGAUUGAGGGCUGCAACUCGCCCUCAUGAAGCUGGAAUCCGUAGUAAUCGCGUUUCAACAGAACGCGGUGAAUACGUCCCUGCUCCUU